AACGAACGCUGGCGGCGCGCCUAAUACAUGCAAGUCGAGCGAGAAGACGUAGCAAUACGUUUGUAAAGCGGCGAACGGGUGAGGAAUACAUGGGUAACCUACCCUCGAGUGGGGAAGUAACUAGCCGAAAGGUUAGCUAAUACCGCGUACGCUCCUUGGACUUCGGUUUCAGGGAGGAAAGACGAUACCGUGGGUAGUCGCGCUCUUGGAUGGGCGUCAUGUCCUAUCAGCUUGUUGGUGAGGUAA
Molecule: ribosomal RNA, 246 nt
Filed under: uncultured bacterium
Lineage: Bacteria
Description: partial 16S ribosomal RNA
Rfam family: Bacterial small subunit ribosomal RNA
Source: RNAcentral